GAUGAACGCUGGCGGCGUGCUUAACACAUGCAAGUCGAACGGAAAGGCCCAAGCUUGCUUGGGUACUCGAGUGGCGAACGGGUGAGUAACACGUGGGUGAUCUGCCCUGCACUUCGGGAUAAGCCUGGGAAACUGGGUCUAAUACCGGAUAGGACGAUGGUUUGGAUGCCAUUGUGGAAAGUUUUUUCGGUUUGGGAUGAGCUCGCGGCCUAUCAGCUUGUUGGUGGGGUAAUGGCAUACCAAGGCGUCGACGGGUAGCCGGCCUGAGAGGGUGUACGGCCACAUUGGAACUGGGAUACGGCCCAGGCUCCUACGGGAGGCAGCAGUGGGGAAUAUUGCACAAUGGGCGCAAGCAUGAUGCAGCGACGCCGCGUGGGGGAUGACGGCAUUCGGGUUGUAAACUCCUUUCGCUAGGGACGAAGCGUUUUUGUGACGGUACCUGGAGAAGAAGCACCGGCUAACUCCGUG
This 468-nucleotide ribosomal RNA is filed under the name uncultured bacterium. RNAcentral describes it as "partial 16S ribosomal RNA". It matches the Rfam family "Bacterial small subunit ribosomal RNA", at positions 28 to 507 of the family's 1533-position model. The record is from RNAcentral.